This 1362-nucleotide ribosomal RNA is filed under the name uncultured bacterium. RNAcentral's name for it is "16S ribosomal RNA". It matches the Rfam family "Bacterial small subunit ribosomal RNA", at positions 28 to 1381 of the family's 1533-position model. The record is from RNAcentral.
GAUGAACGCUAGCGACAGGCUUAACACAUGCAAGUCGAGGGGCAGCAGGGGAGUAGCAAUACCCCCGCUGGCGACCGGCGCACGGGUGAGUAACACGUAUGCAACCUGCCCUUGUCAGGGGGAUAAGCGGAAGAAAUUCCGUCUAAUACCGCAUAACGCUGCGGGGAGACAUCUCCCUGCAGCCAAAGAUUUAUCGGACAAGGAUGGGCAUGCGGCGCAUUAGCUUGUUGGCGGGGUAACGGCCCACCAAGGCGACGAUGCGUAGGGGUUCUGAGAGGAAGGUCCCCCACACUGGUACUGAGACACGGACCAGACUCCUACGGGAGGCAGCAGUGAGGAAUAUUGGUCAAUGGCCGGGAGGCUGAACCAGCCAAGUCGCGUGAGGGAAGACGGUCCUAUGGAUUGUAAACCUCUUUUGUCAGGGAGCAAAAACUGCCACGCGUGGCAGGAUGAGAGUACCUGAAGAAAAGGCAUCGGCUAACUCCGUGCCAGCAGCCGCGGUAAUACGGAGGAUGCGAGCGUUAUCCGGAUUUAUUGGGUUUAAAGGGUGCGUAGGCGGACAGUUAAGUCAGCGGUAAAAUUGAGAGGCUCAACCUCUUCCCGCCGUUGAAACUGAUUGUCUUGGGUGGGCGAGAAGUAUGCGGAAUGCGUGGUGUAGCGGUGAAAUGCAUAGAUAUCACGCAGAACUCCGAUUGCGAAGGCAGCAUACCGGCGCCCAACUGACGCUGAAGCACGAAAGCGUGGGUAUCGAACAGGAUUAGAUACCCUGGUAGUCCACGCAGUAAACGAUGAAUACUAAUUGUUCGGGUCGAGUGAGAUCUGAGUGAUACAGCGAAAGCGUUAAGUAUUCCACCUGGGGAGUACGCCGGCAACGGUGAAACUCAAAGGAAUUGACGGGGGCCCGCACAAGCGGAGGAACAUGUGGUUUAAUUCGAUGAUACGCGAGGAACCUUACCCGGGCUCAAACGACACAGGAAUGAUCUGAGAAAUCAGGCAGUCCUUCGGGACCUGUGUCGAGGUGCUGCAUGGUUGUCGUCAGCUCGUGCCGUGAGGUGUCGGCUUAAGUGCCAUAACGAGCGCAACCCCCAUCGACAGUUGCCAGCAGGUCGAGCUGGGCACUCUGUCGAGACUGCCGGCGCAAGCUGUGAGGAAGGCGGGGAUGACGUCAAAUCAGCACGGCCCUUACGUCCGGGGCGACACACGUGUUACAAUGGCAGGUACAGCGGGAAGCCACCUGGCGACAGGGAGCGGAACCCGAAAGCCUGUCUCAGUUCGGAUUGGAGUCUGCAACUCGACUCCAUGAAGCUGGAUUCGCUAGUAAUCGCGCAUCAGCCACGGCGCGGUGAAUACGUUCCCGGGCCU